UACGCGGUUUCAGUCCUCGCUCACUCGUUUCUAUUUUUUUUUUUUUCCGAAAGGUUACGACGCUGUCCUCCUUCCCCACAUAUUAGGUCACUGGAAAAUCCACGGUAGUAAUUGGUGAUGUCAACCGCCGAACACGCGGGGAGGAGAUGUUAAAAGCCAAGAAACUCAUCUCGCGAACUAAUGGAACCAAAAAGGCGGCUAGGCGUUCCCGCCCUUUCAUCUCCUCUAAUCCUCACCUUCACCCUCUGGGUUUCGGAGGAUCUGCUGAUCAAUGCCGAUGGAUGAUAAUGGUCAACGCCGUGAAGUGGGUGGAUGAAGUCAUUCCAGAUGCUCCUUACGCGAUAACGGAAGAAUUCAUGAACAAGCUUUUUGAUGAAUAUAAGAUCGACUACAUAAUUCACGGAGACGACCCCUGCCUUCUCCCUGAUGGAUCCGAUGCGUACGCCCUCGCCAAGAAGGCUGGCCAAUACAAGCAGAUCAAGCGAACUGAAGGAGUUUCAAGCAUGGAGGUUGUUGGCCUGCAAGUUCGACACGGAUAUCACAUUUCCUGCCUACAUCUCGAAGGAUUGUACAAUUCUCCAACGGGGCCAGGGCCAGAUGCACGCAUAGUGCAUAUAGAUGGUGCGUUUGAUCUUUUCCAUGCUGGAAAUGUAGAGGAAUUUGUGUUGCAGUGGGAGCAUACAGAUGAGUUGGGAUAUGAUUUGAAGGAUUUCAUAAUACCCUGGUCCAUGUUGCAUUAUGAAGAGAGCUGUAUGCUUUUGCAGCGCUUGCAAACACUGGAUGUGGAAUGUGGCGUUCUGGUUGCAGUCGAUUUAGAUGCCAGUCGACUGAGAAUGGUCUUGGGUCAUGUAAAUGUUCUUUUGCAGCAUGCAUGAGGUUUGUGGUAUGUAGAGUGCCCCUCAGAUUUGUGUCCAUCCCUUGCAUGCGAUACCGAGAACGUCGAGCCCAGCUGGGGGGUCCAAAGUCGGAGGCUUGGGGCCUGGGGGGUGGUGUAAAAGUCCCAAGUGUAGGAAAGCAUAGGGGUGCCAAAGUGCCAGUAGGUCUUAUUGACGCAAACUCUUAAGUGAUCAUCCCGAUUGACUGGACUGGAAUUCCACGAAGUUCUUCAAAUUUUCAAAUCAAAUCGUGGGCAUUUGAUCGUUAUCAUCAUCGUAUGAUUGUUAAGGGGAGAAAUCGUGAGCUUACGCCUUAUAGGGGGAGGGGAAACUGGAAGGGCAUUGACGAACAAUAGAGGGCGAGUUGAAGUAUAUUCUUGCAGAUCUCAAUGAUAAAAAAAAGGAGUGUGUCUCCGAUCCAGAUCAUGGUAAAAGGGUGAUUAUAAACGUGGCACCUGUCGUUUGUAUGUCCUAACAACGGGUGGCUCCUUUCAAAUACACGCCUGAUUUCAAAUUUGGCAUUGAUUUCAAGUCACAGAAGGUGCAGCAUUGCUUUCAUCGGUGUCCAAUGCCAAUUGUGAACAACGAAAACUAUCGUUCGUGGAUGGUUGGAAGGUGUUGCUGAGUUCUGCCUGUCGACUAAUGAACAUCCUCUCAAUGAAUGGCUUGUUUCCAUUAGGCACUUGCAUUGCUGCUAUCGGUGUAAAUUGACGGACAAAAAUAUAGCUAUAGAAAAGUAUACAAGCAUCAGCUGAACGCACCUGAGGGAGAGCAAAUAACAAUUGUAGUAUAAGUUCGCCGAGCUGGCGCUUAGUUAAAGUAGGAUAUACCGGUGGCAAAACCACCGUUAAACUUCAUAUAAGCGAAAACUAGAGGCGAAGAAACCACUGGUAUGGAU
This is an RNA transcript of Nymphaea colorata (pocket water lily), 1773 nucleotides long. It is a transcript of the gene named ethanolamine-phosphate cytidylyltransferase-like, with no coding region annotated. The record is from RefSeq and is a predicted model, not a curated record. The transcript is spliced from 6 exons. NCBI's taxonomy places the organism in Eukaryota, Viridiplantae, Streptophyta, Magnoliopsida, Nymphaeales, Nymphaeaceae.